Molecule: ribosomal RNA, 253 nt
Filed under: uncultured bacterium
Lineage: Bacteria
Description: partial 16S ribosomal RNA
Rfam family: Bacterial small subunit ribosomal RNA
Source: RNAcentral
UACGUAGGGUGCAAGCGUUAAUCGGAAUUACUGGGCGUAAAGGGCGCGUAGGCGGCCUGUUAAGUCGAACGUGAAAUCCCCGGGCUCAACCCGGGAACUGCGUCCGAUACUGGCAGGCUUGAAUUCGGGAGAGGGAUGCGGAAUUCCAGGUGUAGCGGUGAAAUGCGUAGAUAUCUGGAGGAACACCGGUGGCGAAGGCGGCAUCCUGGACCGAGAUUGACGCUGAGGCGCGAAAGCCAGGGGAGCAAACGGG